GAUGAAGAACGUAGCGAAAUGCGAUACGUAAUGUGAAUUGCAGAAUUCAGUGAAUCAUCGAAUCUUUGAACGCACAUUGCGCCCCCUGGUAUUCCGGGGGGCAUGCCUGUCCGAGCGUCAUUACAACCCUCAAGCUCAGCUUGGUAUUGGGCCCCGCCGACCCGGCGGGCCCUAAAGUCAGUGGCGGUGCCGUCCGGCUCCGAGCGUAGUAAUUCUUCUCGCUCUGGAGGUCCGGUCGUGUGCUCGCCAGCAACCCCCAAUUUUUUUCAGGUUGACCUCGGAUCAGGUAGGGAUACCCGCUGAACUUAAGCAUAUCAAUAAGCGGAGGA
This 329-nucleotide unclassified non-coding RNA is filed under the name soil metagenome. Its description in RNAcentral is "partial contains 5.8S ribosomal RNA, internal transcribed spacer 2, and large subunit ribosomal RNA". The stretch from base 1 to 120 matches the Rfam family "5.8S ribosomal RNA", at positions 35 to 154 of the family's 154-position model. The record is from RNAcentral.